AUUGAACGCUGGCGGCAGGCCUAACACAUGCAAGUCGAGCGGAUGAAGGGAGCUUGCUCCUGGAUUCAGCGGCGGACGGGUGAGUAAUGCCUAGGAAUCUGCCUGGUAGUGGGGGAUAACGUCCGGAAACGGGCGCUAAUACCGCAUACGUCCUGAGGGAGAAAGUGGGGGAUCUUCGGACCUCACGCUAUCAGAUGAGCCUAGGUCGGAUUAGCUAGUUGGUGGGGUAAAGGCCUACCAAGGCGACGAUCCGUAACUGGUCUGAGAGGAUGAUCAGUCACACUGGAACUGAGACACGGUCCAGACUCCUACGGGAGGCAGCAGUGGGGAAUAUUGGACAAUGGGCGAAAGCCUGAUCCAGCCAUGCCGCGUGUGUGAAGAAGGUCUUCGGAUUGUAAAGCUCUUUUAGUUGGGAGGAAGGGCAGUAAGUUAAUACCUUGCUGUUUUGACGUUACCAACAGAAUAAGCACCGGCUAACUUCGUG
This 484-nucleotide ribosomal RNA is filed under the name uncultured bacterium. Its description in RNAcentral is "partial 16S ribosomal RNA". It matches the Rfam family "Bacterial small subunit ribosomal RNA", at positions 30 to 507 of the family's 1533-position model. The record is from RNAcentral.